Molecule: transfer RNA, 72 nt
Filed under: Ignavibacteriota bacterium
Lineage: Bacteria; Pseudomonadati; Ignavibacteriota
Description: Ignavibacteriae bacterium (activated sludge metagenome) tRNA-Arg
Rfam family: tRNA
About the family: Transfer RNA (tRNA) molecules are approximately 80 nucleotides in length. Their secondary structure includes four short double-helical elements and three loops (D, anti-codon, and T loops). Further hydrogen bonds mediate the characteristic L-shaped molecular structure. tRNAs have two regions of fundamental functional importance: the anti-codon, which is responsible for specific mRNA codon recognition, and the 3' end, to which the tRNAs corresponding amino acid is attached (by aminoacyl-tRNA synthetases). tRNAs cope with the degeneracy of the genetic code in two manners: having more than one tRNA (with a specific anti-codon) for a particular amino acid; and 'wobble' base-pairing, i.e. permitting non-standard base-pairing at the 3rd anti-codon position.
Source: RNAcentral
GCCUCUAUGGUCCAAGGGAAACGACAUCUUCCUCCUAAGAAGAUAAUCUAGGUUCGAGUCCUAGUAGGGGCA